UGGGGAAUUUUGGACAAUGGGCGAAAGCCUGAUCCAGCAAUGCCGCGUGUGUGAAGAAGGCCUUCGGGUUGUAAAGCACUUUUGUCCGGAAAGAAAUCCUUGGCUCUAAUACAGUCGGGGGAUGACGGUACCGGAAGAAUAAGCACCGGCUAACUACGUGCCAGCAGCCGCGGUAAUACGUAGGGUGCAAGCGUUAAUCGGAAUUACUGGGCGUAAAGCGUGCGCAGGCGGUUUGCUAAGACCGAUGUGAAAUCCCCGGGCUCAACCUGGGAACUGCAUUGGUGACUGGCAGGCUAGAGUAUGGCAGAGGGGGGUAGAAUUCCACGUGUAGCAGUGAAAUGCGUAGAGAUGUGGAGGAAUACCGAUGGCGAAGGCAGCCCCCUGGGCCAAUACUGACGCUCAUGCACGAAAGCGUGGGGAGCAAACAGGAUUAGAUACCCUGGUAGUCCACGCCCUAAACGAUGUCAACUAGUUGUUGGGGAUUCAUUUCCUUAGUAACGUAGCUAACGCGUGAAGUUGACCGCCUGGGGAGUACGGUCGCAAGAUUAAAACUCAAAUGAAUUGACGGGGUCAUACUGUUUCCU
This 584-nucleotide ribosomal RNA is filed under the name uncultured bacterium. Its description in RNAcentral is "partial 16S ribosomal RNA". It matches the Rfam family "Bacterial small subunit ribosomal RNA", at positions 355 to 932 of the family's 1533-position model. The record is from RNAcentral.